This 253-nucleotide ribosomal RNA is filed under the name uncultured bacterium. RNAcentral's name for it is "partial 16S ribosomal RNA". It matches the Rfam family "Bacterial small subunit ribosomal RNA", at positions 524 to 776 of the family's 1533-position model. The record is from RNAcentral.
UACGUAGGGGGCGAGCGUUGUCCGGAAUCAUUGGGCGUAAAGCGCGUGUAGGCGGCUCGGUAAGUCUGCUGUGAAAGUCCAGGGCUCAACCCUGGGAUGCCGGUGGAUACUGUCGAGCUCGAGUCCGGAAGAGGCGAGUGGAAUUCCCAGUGUAGCGGUGAAAUGCGUAGAUAUUGGGAGGAACACCAGUGGCGAAGGCGGCUCACUGGACCGGAACUGACGCUGAGGCGCGAAAGCGUGGGGAGCAAACGGG